GCCAAGGCUGGGCAUGAGUGAGCCUAACGGUCUGUAAAACCGCCAUUAAUUUUGUGAAGGUGCAAAUUCCUUCCCUUGGCACCA
Molecule: transfer RNA, 84 nt
Filed under: Thomasclavelia ramosa
Lineage: Bacteria; Bacillati; Bacillota; Erysipelotrichia; Erysipelotrichales; Coprobacillaceae
Also listed under: 3 other names
Description: tRNA-Tyr
Source: RNAcentral